Molecule: ribosomal RNA, 460 nt
Filed under: uncultured bacterium
Lineage: Bacteria
Description: partial 16S ribosomal RNA
Rfam family: Bacterial small subunit ribosomal RNA
Source: RNAcentral
CCUACGGGAGGCAGCAGUGAGGAAUAUUGGUCAAUGGACGCAAGUCUGAACCAGCCAUGCCGCGUGCAGGAAGACGGCUCUAUGAGUUGUAAACUGCUUUUGUACGAGGGUAAACGCAGAUACGUGUAUCUGUCUGAAAGUAUCGUACGAAUAAGGAUCGGCUAACUCCGUGCCAGCAGCCGCGGUAAUACGGAGGAUUCAAGCGUUAUCCGGAUUUAUUGGGUUUAAAGGGUGCGUAGGCGGUCGGAUAAGUUAGAGGUGAAAUCCCGAGGCUCAACUUCGGAAUUGCCUCUGAUACUGGUCGGCUAGAGAGCAGUUGCGGUAGGCGGAAUGUAUGGUGUAGCGGUGAAAUGCUUAGAGAUCAUACAGAACACCGAGUGCGAAGGCAGCUUACCAAGCUACUUCUGACGUUGAGGCACGAAAGCGUGGGGAGCGAACAGGAUUAGAUACCCCUGUAGUC